This 393-nucleotide ribosomal RNA is filed under the name uncultured bacterium. RNAcentral's name for it is "bacterial SSU rRNA". It matches the Rfam family "Bacterial small subunit ribosomal RNA", at positions 954 to 1370 of the family's 1533-position model. The record is from RNAcentral.
GCACAACGCGAAGAACCUUACCACCUUUUGACAUGCCUGGACCGCCACAGAGAUGUGGCUUUCCCUUCGGGGACUGGGACACAGGUGCUGCAUGGCUGUCGUCAGCUCGUGUCGUGAGAUGUUGGGUUAAGUCCCGCAACGAGCGCAACCCUCGCCAUUAGUUGCCAUCAUUCAGUUGGGAACUCUAAUGGGACUGCCGGUGCUAAGCCGGAGGAAGGUGGGGAUGACGUCGAGUCCUCAUGGCCCUUACAGGGUGGGCUACACACGUGCUACAAUGGCGACUACAGAGGGUUAAUCCUUAAAAGUCGUCUCAGUUCGGAUUGUCCUCUGCAACUCGAGGGCAUGAAGUUGGAAUCGCUAGUAAUCGCGGAUCAGCAUGCCGCGGUGAAUACG